Molecule: ribosomal RNA, 250 nt
Filed under: uncultured prokaryote
Description: partial 16S ribosomal RNA
Rfam family: Bacterial small subunit ribosomal RNA
Source: RNAcentral
CACGUAGGGGCGAGCGUUGUCCGUAAUUACUGGGCGUAAAGGGCGCGCAGGCUGUUAUGCGAGUCUGCUGUGAAAUGUACCGGCUCAACCGGUGCCUUGCGGCGGAUACUGCAUAGCUGGAGUACUGGAGAGGGAAGUGGAAUUCCCGGUGUAGCGGUGAAAUGCGCAGAUAUCAGGAGGAACACCAAUGGCGAAGGCAGGUCUCUGGGCAGUUACUGACGCUGAGGAGCGAAAGCAUGGGUAGCGAACA